Molecule: ribosomal RNA, 503 nt
Filed under: uncultured bacterium
Lineage: Bacteria
Description: partial 16S ribosomal RNA
Rfam family: Bacterial small subunit ribosomal RNA
Source: RNAcentral
AUUGAACGCUGGCGGCAGGCUUAACACAUGCAAGUCGAGCGGGGUGAUGGUGCUUGCACUAUCACUUAGCGGCGGACGGGUGAGUAAUGCUUAGGAAUCUGCCUAUUAGUGGGGGACAACAUCUCGAAAGGGAUGCUAAUACCGCAUACGUCCUACGGGAGAAAGCAGGGGAUCACUUGUGACCUUGCGCUAAUAGAUGAGCCUAAGUCGGAUUAGCUAGUUGGUGGGGUAAAGGCCUACCAAGGCGACGAUCUGUAGCGGGUCUGAGAGGAUGAUCCACCACACUGGGACUGAGACAAGGCCCAGACUCCUACGGGAGGCAGCAGUGGGGAAUAUUGGACAAUGGGGGGAACCCUGAUCCAGCCAUGCCGCGUGUGUGAAGAAGGCCUUAUGGUUGUAAAGCACUUUAAGCGAGGAGGAGGCUCUUUUGGUUAAUACCCAAGAUGAGUGGACGUUACUCGCAGAAUAAGCACCGGCUAACUCUGUGCCAGCAGCCGCCGUAA